GGGAAUGUGGCUCAGUGGUAAAGUGCUUGCCUAACAUGCAUGAAGCCCUGGGUUCGAUUCCUCAGUACCA
RNAcentral lists this transfer RNA (70 nucleotides) under Dipodomys ordii (Ord's kangaroo rat). It matches the Rfam family "tRNA". Rfam says of the family: Transfer RNA (tRNA) molecules are approximately 80 nucleotides in length. Lineage: Eukaryota; Metazoa; Chordata; Mammalia; Rodentia; Heteromyidae. The record is from Rfam by way of RNAcentral.